Molecule: long non-coding RNA, 4106 nt
Filed under: Homo sapiens (human)
Lineage: Eukaryota; Metazoa; Chordata; Mammalia; Primates; Hominidae
Description: HSALNT0183908
Source: RNAcentral
CUGCAUCUCCUGGACAAAGACCACUCUGAUAGCUUCCAUGAGAGCUCCCUGGGGCAUCCAUGGAGAAGAUAUUUUUGAGGGAGAAAUCCCCAAUGCAUCUUGAAUCUUGCAGCCCACACAGGGAUUUCCUACAAGCAAACCCAGCCUUGAGCUAUAAAGACCUGAUCACUUUCCUGGGUGAAGACAGCAGACUGACUCAGUUAUUCUGUGGAUAGGUGACUUGAUCAAUGAGUUGGCGAGAAAUCUAAGAUGUGUCUUUCAGGCGCAUAUCUCAGAUUUGUAAAAUUAUUAUUUAUUUAUUUAAUUUUUUUUUUUGGGAUAGAGACUCACUCUGUCACCCAGGCUGGAGUGCAGUGGCACGAUCUCAGCUCAAUACAACCUCCACCUCCCAGGUUCAAAUGAUUCUCCUGCCUCAGCCUCCUGAGUAGCUAGGAUUACAGGUGCCUGCCACCAUGCCCAGCUAAUCUUUGUAUUUUUAGUAGAGACGGGGUUUCACCAUAUUGGCUGGGCUGGUCUCCAACUCCUGACCUCGGGUGAUCCUCCCGCCUCAGCCUCCCAAAGUGCUGGGAUUACAGGCUUGAACCACCGUGCCUGGCCUCAGAUUUGUAAGAUAAUUUACACAAGACUCGGUGUCUCUGCAUCUCACACUGGUUGUAUAUUGCAUUAAACGGGUGAUAAUUCUCCCCUAAUCAAACUGUGCCCAUAUGCUGGCAAGGACAUUCAUGUUAUGAAGACAAGAGGUAGCUGAAAAAUAAAGAGACAAUAGCCACGAGACAGACCCAGAGGUCAGGCAGGGCAGGCUUGCCGUGAGGACACGGCUCAUCCCACGGGGCCUGGGAACUGGCGGUCACAGCAGUGCAAGGUCCUGUUCUCUCCUCCGCAGGGACAGACAGGCCACCAGCCUGACAGAGACGGCACUGGGGGCAGCUGCCAGGAACAAGCAGGGAUUACACUAGGAUUUCUCAAAACGCCACCGUUCAGAUUUGCUGGAUUUGGAGACAAAAUCCAGGUUUGAAUUGUGAUUCUAUUUCUUACUGCUCCGUGGCCUGGGGCAGCCAGGUCAGCUCUCUGAGCCCUGUGGUCUGCAUGGCUGAGUGAGAAUGCCCACCUCCACUGAGAACCAGCCAGUGAGGUGCCAGCAACCCAUCUAACACAGGCAAAGAGGAUUUCUUAAUGAAAACAUUUUGUCUUGCACAAAACAAUACUCAAUUUAAGAAACAGCAAAUGCAGAAAAGGAAAAAGAGGAUUAGAAAACUAUAGAAAGAGCUCAGUGCAUGGCAAGAGUUUAAUGAAUAUUAGUUCUUCCCAUUUAGUUUUGCUUUCCAACCCACUAAGCAUGCUUCGAAAGACAGAGAAGAAAGAGGGGUUACAGCAAAAGCAGUGAUAAGAGUUUCUUGCAUCUUCACAGAUCAAGCAUCUUGGUCUGCAACCAGGUUUGUCUGAACAAAGGGUUAGGAGCCAAAGUUUGGGGUGGUGAAAGCCAUGGGGCCCAUGUUAGGCUGAGGACAAGUGUGCAUAUGGGUGGCAGGUGGCUUUGCCCAGAAUGAACUGGAGGGUGACGAUCCUGGAUCUGGCAGUGAAGCGGCAGUGUCUCUGCUCAGCCGGAGCGGGAGGUGUGGAGCCACUUCGUCACACUCUCAGCUGCACGGCUUUGGGCCACAGCCUGUAGACACCGGUGGAAUCUGCUCAGAGCUUUGAAGAGAGGAUUCCCAGAGCCAAGCUAUGGAUGGGACUAGGAAGCGAGUGACCAAGAACAGCUGCUCUUCACCUCCACGGGCAGGGUGGGGCGGGGUGGGAGGUGAGCUUUGCCGAAAGCCAGGCUGAAGGUGAUGCAAUGACCGCACCAUGGCCAGGAGCAGAACCACACGUUCUUUUUGGUUUCUGUGUAACUCUUGCCAAAUUUACAAUAAACCCUGCAAAUCUGCUGGAGCCUCUCUCUUUCUUUCCCAACCUUUGCAAGGACCUGUCUUGAAACUCCUUGCCUGAUUCCCCGCUUCUUGUUUUUCCCUGUUCCUCCUGCUCCCUUUUUCUUUUCAGCUUUCUCUCCAAUCAUGUUCCUGUCUAUUCUUUUUCUUUUUGCUACCCUGCAUGGUGAAUAUUUGCUAUUUUCCUGCUCAGCAGAACCUGCUCUCCCCACUCUCAGCCCGUGAGUGGGUGGGUGGGGCUGACCUUAGCACCUGGUGAUGUCACUUGAGAACCUAGUUGGCUGGGCCCAGACUUAUUAGGUGGUCAAGUCAAUAAAUGCCCAUUAUCAUGUUUAAGCUGCUUGUGGCUGGGUUUUCCUGCUUGGCACCAAGAGGCCUGAGUCAUUUGCAUCCUCGGGACCGGCCCCUGCCCCAUCUCCAGCUUACACCUCACCCCAUUCCCACCCCUAAACUACAGUCAGGCCGAGGUGCUGACAGGCUGCCCCUGUGCCACGCCACUGCUGCCCCUCAGUAGGUCCCUGCCCUCCUGGCACUUCUUGGUGUCAUGGUUUUCUGAGCCACAAUGCUGUUCUAAUUGUGAGGCAGUGGCAUCUGCCUGGCUUCCUCCCCAGCCCCAGCCCCUGCCAUGGGGACUCUGCCUGAGCUCUGAGGGCAGGUGGGGCACCCUGCUCCUGGCACAGGCACUAUUUCCACCUCUCUUCUUCAUUGCUAUCCGGCUUUCCCUUGCUUUUAUCCCCUCCCCUUCUCCUGCUUCCCACUGGUCAACUCUUCUCCCAGGGCCUCCCAGGGCCUAGGUCUGAGCAGUGGAGACCUCCAUGAGCAGGCAGAGGGCAACCAGGCAGGCUCCAUCCAGAAGAGAACAGGCCUGGACCAGAUGCAGAUUCUCCCAGGCUCUGCAGGGCCUGGCAGGGAAACUGCUGCUCCUGAGCUGCCUUCAGGGGAGUCCUCAGAAUAAGGGGAGCUAUCAACAGGCAGAGCAGUGUUUACGAGGACAGUUAUGAUCUUGUCACUGUCCUCAAGGAGCUUCAGGUCCAGGAAAGAAAAAUGAGCCACCUGUGAAGCAGAAUUGUGUAAUCACCUGGCGAGCAGGGAGGAGCCCCCCAGACACCACAAAGACAGGGAGCACUGGGAGGGAGAAGCGGGGCCAGGCUGGGGAGACCUGCAGAAUGGGGCGGGGCUUCUGGUUUCAAUGUUUACUUGCUGAGUGGCCUUGGACAAGUUAUUUCAUCUGCCUGAGCCUUACUUUCCUCAUCUGUAACAUGAAAAUGCCAAAUAUACCAGCACCUGGAUUGCCACGAGGAUGAGGUGAUUACAAUGCGUAUGGUCCUGAAACAGUGGUGUCCCUCUCCCCACCCUGCCAUUACCCAACCUCUGGUCUUCAAAUCGACCCUAUAAGGUAGGUAUUUUUACGUUCGCUUUGCAGAUGAGAAAACCAAAGCUCUGUGUAAUGACACAUCCCGGAAAUGUGAGGACAGGUUUCAAAUCCAGGUGUGUCUGGUCAAACCUGAGCGUUCCCUCCAGCCCUGCUGCCCCCUUUCUGCAUGUGAUCUUGGCUGGGGUCAGUGUCUGGCAAGCACACUGUCUGGCUGGCUCAGGCCUUUUGCCCCAGCUGUGGCCUUCACCCCCAACUAAUUAACUAACUGACAAGCUGUUUAUGAAGCUGCACUCCUGGUGACGUUGUUGGUGGCUGUGAUAAUCAUCCUGUUUUUCCACUUAUUCAGCCACCUUCUGAAGGGUCCUUUUAUGGGACCCUUUUAUGGAUUAUCAUUGUUCUGGGCAGUUUAUUAUGCAAAUGAAGCCUCAAAGUGCUCGAUGCUGUCUGCUGAAAUGUGCUUUAUAAGAUAAUACAUUUUUUUCCACAAACCAAAAUAAACUAGUGUAAAUGACAAUGGAACGAGAAAAGCUUUGCUCUUUAUAAAAAGGGCCGUGUGAGAUUCUUUGAAACUGAACGCCGGCGGAGUCUGACUCUGACCCUGGAUGAAGAGAUGCUGCUCUUUUAAGCGAGGGAUUUCUUUUCGGAAGAGGCUUUGUGAGCAUGGAACAGCGAAGCCCGGGAUGGGAACCAAGAAAGGUCACCGAAAUGUAGACACCCUGGCCUCAGUCUCUGGAGUUCAAAAAGGCUGCGGUCAAUUGUUGGAAUUUCUUUUCACAUGAAGAAAUCUACAUUCUGUGUAAAUAAAC